Molecule: unclassified non-coding RNA, 1035 nt
Filed under: Hevea brasiliensis (rubber tree)
Lineage: Eukaryota; Viridiplantae; Streptophyta; Magnoliopsida; Malpighiales; Euphorbiaceae
Source: RNAcentral
CAAGAAUGGAAAAGCAUUUAUCAUUUCACGAUUGUUAUUCUUUGUCUGAUGAAUCAGCACAUGACAAUGAAUUACUCAAGAUCAUUUCUCAAUUCCAAAACCAACUUUUGGCAUCUCUCCUCAAUCUAAAACACAAUAGCCAUGCACAAUCAACCUGGGAGCCCACGUGGUGCAUCUUCAACAAGUUUAGAUAUGACUGAAUAGCUCAAAACAUACCUCAAUCACAAUAUAGAUUCUCUGAAAAAAUGACUCCUUCAAAAGCAUAUUCUAAAUCUCAAAACCAAGUCCUUGUUUCAUAUUUUUGGUAUGCCUACUUAACGCCUAGCACAAGUAAUAGAAACAAUGCACCACUCAACCAAAUGCCUACAUCCUCUACAAAUUUAAUCCACUUGAACUGCAUGAUAAAUUUAUUCAAAUAAAUGCAUGUGGAACUCUCAAACCUAAGAAAUCCCACUUAAUCAUCUAGCUCCAGUUGUCUACAGAAUAUCAUUUAUUGGACUCAUCUCUCAUUCACUGAAAUUGUGAAAUUAAAAAUUGAUCUAAAUUUAUUUAGUCAUAAGAACUUCCAAAGAACUAUUUUUAACAACAUCUAGAAUGAUACAUUUCCAAAAUGCACUUUUUGGCCUCAAAACCACAAUCCCAAAUGGAGCCUUAGUAGCAUCACCAAAACUGUGUUUCAAUUUCUAUAUCAAUAAAAAAUUCACAGCCAACCAGCUAGUUUCCUACUAGAGCUUAGUUUUGUGUUGCGUUGAGCAACCAUUAACAACUAAUAACUUUAUCAAUGACCAAUGUUGAGCCAAAUCAGAUAAAUAAUAAAGAGGUUAGUUGAGUUGAAUUGAGCACACAUCAAUCAACUAACAAUUCAAUCAAAGAAAAAUGUUGAACAGUAGAGCCAAAUCUAAUAAAUAAUAGAGUAUACUCAGACUGUAUAGCUUAGCCAUGCCCAACCAUUUUCUCUUUCUUUUAGAAAAUGAAAAAAGCAUGUCAAGUUAUUACCUCAUACAUUUGAUAUCCUAAUCAACCAAACAGGAAAAG